Long non-coding RNA from Mus musculus (house mouse), 265 nucleotides. RefSeq annotates it as predicted gene, 51683. Lineage: Eukaryota; Metazoa; Chordata; Mammalia; Rodentia; Muridae. The record is from RefSeq and is a predicted model, not a curated record. The transcript is spliced from 2 exons.
CUCUGGAGUAUAGAGGAGAAAGCAGAUGUCUCUCUUCGUCAGCUGUGAGGUGGCAAGACUAUGAGAAGCUCUUUAGAGUCGAGGACAGAGUUCCUGGACUCACUCUGGAUUGCAGACAUCUGCAUGUGUCAGUCUGCUGUGAAGGUCUGAGCUGGCUGUGGACGAACAGGGAGAGAAGGUUCUCAGAACAUAGUCCCACUUAGAGGAGACCCUGAGAGUCGCAAAGCAAUAAACGGGCCUGCCAUUUCCCCAAGCCCAACUCGUA